RNAcentral lists this ribosomal RNA (287 nucleotides) under uncultured bacterium. RNAcentral describes it as "partial 16S ribosomal RNA". It matches the Rfam family "Bacterial small subunit ribosomal RNA", at positions 1101 to 1389 of the family's 1533-position model. The record is from RNAcentral.
ACCCUUGUCCUUAUUUGCCAGCAACUCGGUUGGGCACUCUAGGGAGACUGCCGGUGACAAGCCGGAGGAAGGUGGGGACGACGUCAAGUCAUCAUGGCCCUUACGGCCAGGGCUACACACGUGCUACAAUGGGGCGUACAAAGGGCUGCAAGCCUGCGAAGGUAAGCUAAUCCUCAAAACGUCUCGUAGUCCGGAUCGCAGUCUGCAACUCGACUGCGUGAAGUCGGAAUCGCUAGUAAUCGUAGAUCANCAUGCUACGGUGAAUACGUUCCCGGGCCUUGUACACA